Capsicum annuum is the source of this 1668-nucleotide long non-coding RNA. RefSeq lists it as uncharacterized. The transcript has 4 exons. The record is from RefSeq and is a predicted model, not a curated record. NCBI's taxonomy places the organism in Eukaryota, Viridiplantae, Streptophyta, Magnoliopsida, Solanales, Solanaceae.
AAUACGUUUUAUUCAUUUUUUCAAUAAUCAAAACUUCAUAGAUCCCAACACUCCUCUUCUCUUCUCCUUGUUUUUUACUGUCAUUUCAGUUUUCAAAAUGUCAGUGGGUCCCAAAAACAAGCAUCCAUUUUUUCAACCUACUUGAAGAAGGCUUUACGGACAAAAUACAAAAUCCGGAUGCUUUUGUGAAAGAAUAUUAGAAGAUGCUGGCCAAGACGGUCUUACUGAAAAUGGAAGAAAAUUUGCCUUGGGAAGCCAAGAUAAUGAGGAGGUGACUGGUUACUUCAUAUGUGAAGGAGUGUGGCCACAGCUUGUGGCGAAUAACAAGCUGGGGCUAGGGGAUAUGUUGAUCUUCUAUCUUGUUGACUAGUCGACCUUCCAAUUCCUUCCCUACUCUAAGAAACCUCGUACCAACAUUCUCCAUUUUGAGGGACUCAACAGUUUCGACGAAGAGAACAUUGAAAUUGGAGCUUCAAGAAGAUCUAAGAAAGUUAAGACUGAGCCGAAAGAAUCAUCAGCAAGCGGCGAUGAAAGAUGCAAGAUGCACAACCAAUAAUUCAGUAUUUCUUAUGAUGUGCGCAUAGCAGUUUUCGACAAAGAGAAGGAUUUAGCAUAUCAAGCAACAAAAGCUAAUUCCAAGUCUAAGAAUCCAUUCUUUAUAUCUUUUAUGCAUCCUACGAAUAUCUCCAGAUCACAUCUGAUAAGCUCUACAAAUUAUUCCACAAUGUAUAUACUUUACAAAGUCAAUUCAUUGAGUUAAUCUCUUUUGGCAGAGCAUAAAGUUGACAAUUGCUAGGAACAAUAUCUCGAAAAACUGCAAAAAGAUAGUGCUUCGUGUUGCAGGCGGAGGAUCUUGGCCUAUCAUAUGCAAUUUGAGACCAGCACAAGCUAGAAUUACCACUGGCUAGAGGGAUUUCAUGGAUGGCAAUCAGUUAAAAAUAGGUGAUGUUUGUGACCAGGUUCAUCGAUCCUAUGCAAUUUUCGGCAAGUCAGCACUGCAGCUGGAAAGUGUACUGUUAGCAGGAAGUUGGUGAGAAAGAUAGCAGAGGUGCAACACCUUUUUGCUUCAACCAAUCAGAAGAGUCCUAGGUUUUCUUGUAUCAUAUUUAUACAUCAUGAUGCAACAAGAAAACCCUAGCCCUUACACACAAUGAAUUGAUAAUCUCUCUUGAAGCACACAAUUAGAAAAGCCUCGGCUGCAACAAGGACCGACUUAAUCGAACUUGUUCGUCAUAUGUUCUUGUUAUAUUUGAAUCUUUGUCUAGUGGUCUUUAACGCUCAAACCUACUCUCAUUGUAAAGUUGUUGAAGGUCUUUUCAUUGUUUUCUUGAUUACUCAUGGUUGGUCAGCUAGAGUUAGUUGACAGUUAGGCUACAGUUGGUCGACUAGUUGACGAUUAGGCUAGAGUUGGUCGGCAUAUCAAAGUGACUAGAGUUAGUCAUUGGAGCUAAUAGCAAUAGACAGGUAUUCCAGUGAGUGUCUCAUAAUAGAGUUAUUGCAAGGUCAUUUAGGAUUAAAAGUUUAAUCCUUGUAACUGUGGAGUCUGUAUUCAACGUUGCUUGAAGAUAGUGAAGCAGUUGGAAAUCCUAUGAGGUAGGUAGUAAUUUUACUCCCCUGGAGCCAGGAAAUUUCCACGUAAAUAUCACGUGUCAUUUACCUUAAGCUUUA